Molecule: long non-coding RNA, 216 nt
Organism: Sinocyclocheilus anshuiensis
Lineage: Eukaryota; Metazoa; Chordata; Actinopteri; Cypriniformes; Cyprinidae
Exons: 3
Source: RefSeq, a predicted model, not a curated record
UAGCUGGUUGGUUCUGAGAAACCUCACACCACAGAUUGAUGGUUCAACACUGCGGACACUUUGCAUGCAACACGGGCCGCUCAUCACAUUCCAUCUCAACCUGACGCAGGGCAAUGCUGUGGUGCGCUACAGUUCUAAAGAGGAGGCUGCCAAAGCCCAGAAGUCCCUACACAUGUGUGUUCUGGGAAACACCACUAUACUGGCAGAGUUUGCUGG